This 332-nucleotide ribosomal RNA is filed under the name uncultured Bacillus sp. RNAcentral describes it as "bacterial SSU rRNA". It matches the Rfam family "Bacterial small subunit ribosomal RNA", at positions 568 to 898 of the family's 1533-position model. The record is from RNAcentral. Lineage: Bacteria; Bacillati; Bacillota; Bacilli; Caryophanales; Bacillaceae.
CGCGCAGGCGGUCCUUUAAGUCUGAUGUGAAAGCCCACGGCUCAACCGUGGAGGGUCAUUGGAAACUGGGGGACUUGAGUGCAGAAGAGAAGAGUGGAAUUCCACGUGUAGCGGUGAAAUGCGUAGAGAUGUGGAGGAACACCAGUGGCGAAGGCGACUCUUUGGUCUGUAACUGACGCUGAGGCGCGAAAGCGUGGGGAGCAAACAGGAUUAGAUACCCUGGUAGUCCACGCCGUAAACGAUGAGUGCUAAGUGUUAGAGGGUUUCCGCCCUUUAGUGCUGCAGCAAACGCAUUAAGCACUCCGCCUGGGGAGUACGGCCGCAAGGCUGAA